GCAGCGCCCCCCACCCCUUGGAGCGGCCACCCUCUGCCAGCGGCGCGCACUAGGUUUCUACCACACCGCCGCGACCCCCGCUCCGGUUAGGGCAGGUGCGCCGGCGCCGGCGGCAAGACUGGUGGUGGUGGUGGUAGGUAGAGUUCUUAUCACCCACCCUCGCAGCGGAGUUGUGAGGGCAAAAGCUGACUUUGAAAGGGUGGCGGUGGGGCUGCAGCUCGAGAGAAGGGAAUGUGAUUGCGGAGCGGGAGGGGCCGCGGGGUCGUUCUGCUGAGCCGCACUACCGCUGGAGAGACGACGCGGCUCGGGAAGCGCAAGAAACCGAAUAGUCCAGCCGGUACUGAAUUGUAAACAUGAGCUGCCACACCUAGCUUGAAGUAGAUGUUUGUGAGAAGAGACAAAGCAUCAUCUACUCUAGAAAGUGUGUCCGGACUGUGACCUGUCUCCACUGAAGCCUUUCCAGCUGCUGCUCUCCGUGGGCCUAUCAUUUUCCUGUUUCUCCAUCACCAAAUAAUGUCUGUAUACUUAACUACAGUUUGAUGGGGUCUCCUGCCUAGGAGAACACAGGCUCCACAGCAGGUAUGCUGGACGGUAGAUGAAGCGCCCUCCUGGGCUCAGGCACUUCAGGGCCGGGUUCUGCACUGUGUUCUCCUGACUCCCCAGUGAUGUGUACCUGGAGUGUUGAAACAGGAGCACGUGGAUAAUAGGGUUUUGAUGGCUGCUUGGAGCUCAGGGUGUGGUUUGAGCUCCUCCCCAAAGGCCCGUGCCACUGCCUCAAAUGUUACAUCGUCAUGAGUGGGGCCGAUGCCUCCUGCAGUGAGGACAUGAGUGAAGCGGCUGGAGAAUGAGGUGACCUCAGCUGCAAUGGUGGCUACCUCAUCAGGUACAAUAGAGACUCGGCAAACCUGGACCCCCAGGGAGCGCAGUGUCCGGCACAGAAAGCUGGGCCUUAGCACCUUUCCCCCGGACAAUGCUGACAGCCUCCAGCCACUAUGCUCUGUUCCCUGUCCUCUAAGGAACCUUUCUAAUGUGCCACGGCGAUCACUGAAUCACUUCUGUGCUCAAAAACACGUGUUGUUUCCAAAUGCAUACAGAAUAAAGUUCAAAUCCUUUUGCAAUCAUUAAA
Molecule: long non-coding RNA, 1126 nt
Organism: Peromyscus eremicus (cactus mouse)
Lineage: Eukaryota; Metazoa; Chordata; Mammalia; Rodentia; Cricetidae
Exons: 6
Source: RefSeq, a predicted model, not a curated record